UGCUUCUUUUAUUAGUUGUUUUUAAAAAUAUCUAUUGCUACUGCUUUGAAAACAAUGAAAAAUCAUAAUGUUAUUUUACUUGUUUCAUUUCUUAGUUGUUAUUAUUGCUCUUUAUUACAUUUAUUUCAAAACCUUGCAUUGUAAUAUUGAAAGUCAUUAAUUAACUAUUUAAAUAUAUAAUGCUAAUUUCUUUGAAACUUAUGUUUACAGUGUCACGCCCUAAAUCCGGGAUAUAACAUGCCAUGCUACCAUGGGGUACUGCCCAUAAUAACACGAAUCCAACA
This 284-nucleotide long non-coding RNA is filed under the name Phoenix dactylifera (date palm). RNAcentral's name for it is "long non-coding RNA (PDAC_LNC005810)". The record is from RNAcentral. Lineage: Eukaryota; Viridiplantae; Streptophyta; Magnoliopsida; Arecales; Arecaceae.